RNAcentral lists this ribosomal RNA (433 nucleotides) under uncultured bacterium. RNAcentral describes it as "partial 16S ribosomal RNA". It matches the Rfam family "Bacterial small subunit ribosomal RNA", at positions 29 to 507 of the family's 1533-position model. The record is from RNAcentral.
AACGAACGCUGGCGGCAUGCCUAACACAUGCAAGUCGAACGAGACCUUCGGGUCUAGUGGCGCACGGGUGCGUAACGCGUGGGAACCUGCCCUUAGGUUCGGAAUAACUCCCCGAAAGGGGUGCUAAUACCGGAUAAUGUCUUCGGACCAAAGAUUUAUCGCCUUUGGUGGGGCCCGCGUUGGAUUAGCUAGUUGGUAUGGUAAAAGCCUACUAAGGCGAUGAUUCAUAGCUGGUCUGAGAGGAUGGUCAGCCACACUGAGAUGGGGACACGGCCCAGACUCUUACGGGAAGCAGCAGAGGGGAAUAUUGGACAAUGGGCGGAGGCCUGAUCCAGCUAUGCCGCGUAAGUGAUGAAGGCCGUAGAGUUGUAAAGCGCUUUUACCCGGGAUGAUAAUGACAGUACCGGGAGAAUAAGCACCGGCUAACUCCGUG